GGCCUCGCUUCACCGGCUCGCUCCUGGGCUCUGAGGUUCGGAACAGAGCGCUGUCGCUCGUCUGAGCAGAAGAGGAGUUCGGAAUGCCGCAGCUCCGACAGGAACGGCGUCCGGGAGGAUGCCAAGCUGACAUUCGGCGACAGACAUUUGGCUCUUCCUCCUCCGUCUCUCGCGGUGACCCUCGGAGCACACAGUGCUGGGUGAACACUCACGGGAGAGGGGACGCCGGAGGGGAACUGAGGGAUGCUUGUGAACCGGGAGCUUCCCGGGGACCGUGGGACCGGGGACCCAAUUGACAGCCAUGCACGGCUGCGGGCCCCGCCCUGUAAGAUGGCGGCCGCCUCCACGGAGGGCCUGGAGCGGUCAGGCAGGAGUGAGGGGGAUCAGGCAGGACGGUUAGCGAGGACGGGGACAGACCGGGCGGGCACCAGGACCAGGGCGGCUGGUCUGGGAUGACGGAGACCGACCGACCGGGGGAGCACCGGGACCAGGGCAGCGGGUCCGGGAUGACGGAGACCGACCGACCGGGGGAGCACCGGGACCAGGGCAGCGGGUCCGGGAUGACGGAGACCGACCGACCGGGGGAGCACCGGGACCAGGGCGGCGGGUCCGGGAUGACCAGGACCCGGCAGGCACUCAGGCGCCAGCUCUGGUUCCCAGUCCGCUAGGAAGAAAUGCGGGGACUCGAGAGAGCGACGCCCAAGCGAACGGCUAGAUAAACAAGAAAAAGCCCGGCAGCUUUACUAACUACAUAAGUAAACAUUUCUUAGAGGAAAGAACAAUAUGUGGGAAAUAUUGCUAUUAUCUCCCGGCGCUGUUCCUUCGUCCGGAUUGUGGCCCGUACGUAUACCAGUGCACAGAUCACACACAGAAAGCAUCCUAAAUGAAGGGCAAAUGCCUAAACAGCGUUAACAAUUGUACUUUUUAAAUGCGCAUGUGCAUAUGUGCUAACGCACAUGGUUUUGGAUGUUUUGAAAGUCCUGAUAAAUACAUACUCAUAAACUGAGAUGCUCUUACCAUCUUAAAAUCUACUAAAAUGAUAUCUUUGGAUCUACUAAAUGUUUCAUAAAACCUUAAAAUGUUGUUUACAUAAAACAUUCUCUGGGGGCAUACGGUUUUAAAACGUGAUCAAACUACGAAAUUUAACAUUAGAUACAGAUACAUAGAUUUUUUAGUAAUGAUUUCCUUCCUAAGCAAAUUGUUAAUAUUCUGGACAAUACUAACAAUGACUUUGGGUGGCUCACAGUCAUCUGUAACUCCAGUUCUAGGAAAUCUGAUGCCCUCUUCUGGCCUCUGUGGGUUGCUAUGGGAUUUCUUUUUCAGGACUUAAUAAAUAAAUAAUAAUAAAUUAUUAUUAUUAUUAUAUGCAUUAGGCCUUUUACACAAUCUUUCCUGACUUUUACAAACCAGAUACAGCUGCAUGAUGGUAUUAGCACUUGAGCUUCCUUCCUUUGGCCACACCUCUCUAUUACUAAAUUUAAAUUUAUAAAUUUAUAUUAAAGUCAAAAGUAGUGUCACUUCUUUUUUUUUUUUUUAGGAUUUAUUGGAUUCUCAGAAUCAAACUUUUUUCUUUUCUCUCUCUCUUUCUCUCUUCCUCUUUCUUUCUUUCUUUCUUUCUUUCUUUCUUUCUUUCUUUCUUUCUUUCUUUCUUUCUUUCUUCCUUUCAGCAGGUUCUACAUAGCCUUGGCUAUCCUGGAACUCACUAUACAGACCAGGCUGGCUUCAAACUCAUAGCAAUCCACCUGCCUCUGCCUCCUGAGUGCAGAGAUUGAAGAUGUGAGCCACCAUGUCUGGCUAACUUUAAUUUUAGAAGCUGUACCAUAGCAUGUCGUCCAAGAGACAGCAAGAAAAGAAAUAAGAAUCAGGGUCUCUGGGGUGGAGAGAGGUGUCCCUUUCAUCCACUCUGUCAGUCUUCAAAGAGACCAAUCAGGUUAGACUGUCUGUCCUUCCUGUCUCUCUAACCCACACAUCCUCAGGCAAGCCUCAGUGUAGACACAGAGAUCACACGCAGACACUGGCUUUAGUCCCCAGCUCCUCUGCCCUCACUCCUUCACUGGCUGGAGUUUAAAACAAUUGCCAACCUUGUCACUCUCCUAGUAACAGCCCGACCAUGAGCAUCUCUGAAGUUAUUUCUUUUACCUUAGUGAAAAGGGGGUUUCUUGCCUAAGACACUUGAAAAAAUUCAUAGUAAACAACCAAGAAAACCUGGGGCCAGUGCUAAGAGCAGGUGCUGCUCUUCCAGAGAACCUGGAUUCAGUUCCCAACACCUGCCUUAAAGUGGCCAGCAUGGUCCUGAAAUUCCAGUUCCAGGGGAUCUGUCGCCCUCUUCUGGUGUACUUGGGUACUGCAUGCACCUGGUCCAAAUACAAAGACUCAAGAUGUGUCCCUCCUGUCCCUGUCCCUGUCCCCUUGCACUCCUCUCUCUCCCUCCAUAUCUCUCUCUCUCUCUCUCUCUCUCUCUCUGUCUCUCUCUCUCUCUCUCAUAAGUAAAUAUAUUUUUACAACACCUCAAAAAUUCAUGUACUAGAUUCAGAAAAGAGGCUCACUUAUAUGAAUGAAUGGAUUUUUUGUUAUGUUUUCAUUUUUGUUUUUUGUUUUACAUUUCCAUUCAGGUUAAAAGUGCAGUGAGAAAGGCUGCUUUCUUUGUUUCUAAUGCUCAAGGCAAUAAUUUCUUUCCUAGAAAACUAUCGCCAUGCACUUGGAAUGGGAUUGUCUACACUAAAUGAAUAAGGAGAAACGGAGAACAGCUAGGGAGGAUACAAUGCACCAGAAGUAAACAUAUAUGUUGGCAGAAAAGUGGGGAGACGGGAGGGAGCACUGUGAGCCUGCAGGUGACAGCACUCACAGAGAUGGUGAGCCAGGAGCUGCACCUGAGUUCUUGUCACCCUCUUGUGUGCAUGGGAAGGGAUAGAGAUGAGAGCAAGCCAUGAAUGAAGAUGGCGUGGGGAAAUCUGUGGGAGUGGUACUCUGGGGACCCAGCAGCCCUGGGUCCUCGAGGAACCCAAGUGAAGUAGAAUCCAAUGGAGAGAGGCAGAUGAACAGCCCGGAUCAGGCUGACAGAUGUUUUAGAUGUUUCUGUCCCAGUUUUUAUUUUUUCCCUCUAGAGAAUGUGUACUAAUGAAGCAGUAAGAGGGCUGAAGAUCUCUGGCUCUGUGAGUUAGGACCAGGGUUCAAUUUCCCACACCCCACAUGGCAGCUCACAACUGGCUGUAACUCCAGUUCUGAGGCAUUAACUUCCUCCUCUUGCCUCUGCAAGCACCAGGCACACACAUCCUGACCCACUAAGCAACACCCGGUCUCCCCGCUAACUGCACUCUGGACUUUUCCAGCAGCAGCUCCUGGGCUUUUGAGUGUUUCGGAGGACCGAUGCGUGUGGAGCCGCACGGGUGGAGAAGCAGACAGCUGUGAGGCACACCUGGCCAGAUGUGCGCCAGCUGGCGGGAGUGGGCAUGGCUUAGCUGCUCCUCCAUGCGAUGACUGCUUGGAUGUUGAGUAGUAGAUUGACAGCUGGAGCCUGUGCACUUGUACCCACAGCAAGCUCUCCCCUGGAGGAAGAUGUGAGGAGCACACCUAGGACGGCCUCAGCAUCUACUGUGUGGUCCAUUUUCAGGUUUUUCCCCUCUGUGUUUUUUGUUUUGUUUUGUUUUGUUUGCUUGUUUGCCCAUCCCACUGGUCCUUGGGAAGUGGCAACCUCAACCGUGAGUUAAUGCCAGGGUUUACACAUGCUAGGCAAGCUCUCUCCCAACCGAGCCUUAUCCGCCACCCAUAACAAGAGGAAAAUCAAACAGCACAAACUAAUCGUUCUGUCUUUCCUCUCAGUCCUCCCUGCUUUGCAAGAUCCUGUGGUCUGGGCUUCUGUUUUUCUGAUGAUGUUGGUCCGUGUAGCCCCGUGUAGAUCUAAGUAAGUGGCUUUGGAAGGUUCAUAUCUCUUUUAGGACCAUGUGUUGCAAUCCCUAAUCUGUGGCAGUACUGAGAAAUGACGUAAUCUUUAGGCCAUGGGACCUAGCAGAAGGAAGUUAGAUCAUUGGCACCUGCCUAUGAAAGGUGUGCCCUUCCCCCAGCCUUGAGUUGGCCUAACAAGUCUCCAAGGCUGGAGCCUUUCUGUCUUCCCGCCUGAGCCUUGAGGAGCUGGCCGCCCACUGAGCUUACUUUGCAGCUCAAUCCGGCUGAAGCAAGCAACAGAACCCAGCCAAAACAAGGGGAUGUGUCCUUGGGUUUUCCUAUAUAUAUUCAGAGCUGAAUAUUAAAAUUUGAACCUUGAUCAGAGAA
Molecule: long non-coding RNA, 4269 nt
Filed under: Mus musculus (house mouse)
Lineage: Eukaryota; Metazoa; Chordata; Mammalia; Rodentia; Muridae
Description: predicted gene 45605
Source: RNAcentral